Long non-coding RNA from Mobula hypostoma (lesser devil ray), 398 nucleotides. RefSeq lists it as uncharacterized. Lineage: Eukaryota; Metazoa; Chordata; Chondrichthyes; Myliobatiformes; Myliobatidae. The transcript has 3 exons. The record is from RefSeq and is a predicted model, not a curated record.
GUUGAAGCGGCCCCGGGAGGAGUUAGACGACUGUCCGGGACUCAGUAACGCCAGAUUAGAUAAACCAAUUUGUGAGAUGGAAAACGAAUAUGAGAGAGAAAAAAAGGCAAAUCAAGCAAGCUUGCUUUGCUCUCAAUAUUGAUUUGAAGAUAUUUGAAGCAAGGACUUCAGAAUGAAAAAGCAUGCUUUCGACUUUACUAUGGUGUUUACUUAGAACUGAAAACCAAGGGACCAGACAGCAUUUAAACAGAGGUUUCAUUGCGGAUAUACUCAGAGAUGGAGGCUGCUUAAGCUUAUUUCUCAACAAUAUCGUUUCCACGUUCAAGUGUAUUCAGGCUGAAGUUUUGACAACUGGCCAAAUGAGAUUCAACAUUCUGUAUAGUCAAAAAUAAAGAGAA